AUUUAUAUAGUUUAACGUAAAACAUUACAUUUUCAAUGUAAAAUUAAUUUUUUAUUUAUAAAUA
Molecule: transfer RNA, 64 nt
Filed under: Mordellochroa milleri
Lineage: Eukaryota; Metazoa; Arthropoda; Insecta; Coleoptera; Mordellidae
Description: tRNA-Glu
Source: RNAcentral